UUGUUUUGGCAGAUUUAUGUAUUAGAUUUAGGAUCUAAAAAAAUAGAGGUUUCUAUAAACAAUAA
RNAcentral lists this transfer RNA (65 nucleotides) under Pyrhila pisum. RNAcentral's name for it is "tRNA-Leu". Lineage: Eukaryota; Metazoa; Arthropoda; Malacostraca; Decapoda; Leucosiidae. The record is from RNAcentral.